Molecule: ribosomal RNA, 253 nt
Filed under: uncultured bacterium
Lineage: Bacteria
Description: partial 16S ribosomal RNA
Rfam family: Bacterial small subunit ribosomal RNA
Source: RNAcentral
UACGUAGGGUCCGAGCGUUGUCCGGAGUUACUGGGCGUAAAGCGCGCGCAGGCGGCGGUGUUGGCCCGGCGUGAAAGCCCCCGGCUCAACCGGGGAGAGUCGUCGGGGACCGCACCGCUUGAGGGCGGUAGGGGCUGGUGGAAUGCCUGGUGUAGUGGUGAAAUGCGCAGAUAUCAGGAGGAACACCGGUGGCGAAGGCGGGUCUCUGCGCCGAUACUGACGCUGAGGAGCGAAAGCGUGGGGAGCAAACAGG